GAUGAACGCUGACGGCAUGCUUAACACAUGCAAGUCGAAGGGGGAGUGGUGCUUGCACCUUGUCGACCUUGACGUACUGGUGAGUAACUCGUAAACGGCUUACCUGCACGACUGUGAUAACCGUUGUAAACUGCUGACACAACCGGAUACUGUCAUUGAUCUGCCUUACUUUCUGAUUAAAGGAGACGCCUGCGGAGAGACUUGCGUCCUUUUAGUUUGUUGGUGAGGUAAUUGCUCACCAAGGAGAGGACAGGGAGCCGGCGUGAGAGGAUGGUCGGCCACAAGGGGAGUGAGAUACGGCGCCUAAUACUACGGGAGGAAGCAGCGGGGAAUAUUGGAGCAUGAGGGCAAAAACGAUGAAGCAACUCUGUGUGGAGGAAGAAGGUUUUCGGAGUGAAAAGUGCUUUCAGCAGGGAAGAAGUAAGUGACGGUACCUGACGAAGAAGCGACGGCUAAAUACGUG
Molecule: ribosomal RNA, 463 nt
Filed under: uncultured bacterium
Lineage: Bacteria
Description: partial 16S ribosomal RNA
Rfam family: Bacterial small subunit ribosomal RNA
Source: RNAcentral